GACGAACGCUGGCGGCGUGCUUAACACAUGCAAGUCGAACGGAAAGGCCUGCUUUCCCUUGUGGAUUGCGGGUACUCGAGUGGCGAACGGGUGAGUAACACGUGAGUGAUCUGCCCCCAACUUGGGUAUAAGCCUGGGAAACUGGGUCUAAUUCCCGAUAGGACUGCAGGGUGGUGCCUGUGGUGGAAAACGAUUUUCUAGUGGUUGGGGAUGAGCUCGCGGCCUAUCAGCUUGUUGGUGGGGUAAUGGCCUACCAAGGCGGCGACGGGUAGCCGGCCUGAGAGGGUGGACGGCCAGAUUGGGACUGAGAUGCGGCCCAGACUCCUACGGGAGGCAGCAGUGGGGAAUAUUGCACAAUGGGCGGAAGCCUGAUGCAGCGACGCCGCGUGGGGGAUGACGGCCUUCGGGUUGUAAACUCCUUUCGACCGCGAGGAAGCCACCUGGUUGGAAGGGUGGUGACGGUAGUGGUAGAAGAAGCACCGGCUAACUACGUG
RNAcentral lists this ribosomal RNA (494 nucleotides) under uncultured bacterium. RNAcentral describes it as "partial 16S ribosomal RNA". It matches the Rfam family "Bacterial small subunit ribosomal RNA", at positions 28 to 507 of the family's 1533-position model. The record is from RNAcentral.